CCUACGGGUGGCAGCAGUGGGGAAUAUUGGGCAAUGGGCGCAAGCCUUACCCAGCAAUACCGCGUGAGUGAAGAAGGUCUUCGGAUUGUAAAGCUCUUUGAUCAGGGACGAACAGAUGACGGUACCUGAAGAACAAGCCCCGGCUAACUACGUGCCAGCAGCCGCGGUAAAACGUAGGGGGCGAGCGUUGUCCGGAAUGACUGGGCGUAAAGGGUGCGUAGGCGGCAUAAUAAGUUAGAAGUGAAAUACCCAGAGCUUAACUCGGGUGCUGCUUCUAAGACUGUUGAGCUUGAGUGCGGGAGAGGUUAAUGGAAUUCCUAGUGUAGGAGUGAAAUCCGUAGAUAUCUGGAGGAACAUCAGUGGCGAAGGCGACUAUCUGGCACAUAACUGACGCUGAGGAGCGAAAGCGUGGGUAGCAAACAGGAUUAGAUACCCGAGUAGUC
Molecule: ribosomal RNA, 443 nt
Filed under: uncultured bacterium
Lineage: Bacteria
Description: partial 16S ribosomal RNA
Rfam family: Bacterial small subunit ribosomal RNA
Source: RNAcentral